Non-coding RNA from Xyrichtys novacula (pearly razorfish), 344 nucleotides. NCBI's taxonomy places the organism in Eukaryota, Metazoa, Chordata, Actinopteri, Labriformes, Labridae. The record is from the annotation of a GenBank genome assembly.
GACCAAAAAAAAGAAAAAUGAAAAAAAAAUAUUUGGGGUUUUCGGGCUUCCUGAUGGCAAUACCCGGGAAUCAGUUUCCGGGGCUUAGGAAAGGUUUAAGGUUUUUGGCGUUAGGGUUAAAAUCACUGUCCAAAACCUUUGUAGGAACUCUUUUCCAAGCUUUUGGAGUUAGUUACACCAAAAAAAAAUGAAAAAUGAAAAAAAAAAUAUUUGGGGUGUUCGGGCUUCCUGAAGGUAAUACCCAGGUAUUAGGUUAUGGGGCUAGGGUAAGGUUUUAGGUUUUUGGCGUUAGGGUUAAAAUCAAUGUCCAAAACCUUUGGAGGAACUCUUUUCCAAGCUUUUGG